UACGUAGGGGGCGAGCGUUGUCCGGAUUUAUUGGGCGUAAAGAGCGUGUAGGCGGCCAGGUAGGUCUGCUGUGAAAACUCGAGGCUUAACCUCGAGAUGUCGGCGGAAACCAUCUGGCUAGAGUCCGGAAGAGGAGAGUGGAAUUCCAGGUGUAGCGGUGAAAUGCGUAGAUAUCUGGAGGAAUACCGGUGGCGAAGGCGGCAUCCUGGACCGACAUUGACGCUGAGGAGCGAAAGCUAGGGGAGCAAACGGG
This 253-nucleotide ribosomal RNA is filed under the name uncultured bacterium. RNAcentral's name for it is "partial 16S ribosomal RNA". It matches the Rfam family "Bacterial small subunit ribosomal RNA", at positions 524 to 776 of the family's 1533-position model. The record is from RNAcentral.